RNAcentral lists this ribosomal RNA (253 nucleotides) under uncultured bacterium. RNAcentral describes it as "partial 16S ribosomal RNA". It matches the Rfam family "Bacterial small subunit ribosomal RNA", at positions 524 to 776 of the family's 1533-position model. The record is from RNAcentral.
UACGUAGGGUGCAAGCGUUAAUCGGAAUUACUGGGCGUAAAGCGUGCGCAGGCGGUUGUGCAAGACAGAUGUGAAAUCCCCGGGCUUAACCUGGGAACUGCAUUUGUGACUGCACGGCUAGAGUGUGUCAGAGGGGGGUAGAAUUCCACGUGUAGCAGUGAAAUGCGUAGAGAUGUGGAGGAACACCGAUGGCGAAGGCAGCCUUCUGGGCCAACACUGACGCUCAUGCACGAAAGCGUGGGGAGCAAACAGG